Molecule: ribosomal RNA, 253 nt
Filed under: uncultured bacterium
Lineage: Bacteria
Description: partial 16S ribosomal RNA
Rfam family: Bacterial small subunit ribosomal RNA
Source: RNAcentral
UACAGAGGUCUCAAGCGUUGUUCGGAUUCAUUGGGCGUAAAGGGUGUGUAGGUGGCGCGCUAAGUCGGGUGUGAAAUUUCGGAGCUUAACUCCGAAACUGCAUUCGAUACUGGCGUGCUCGAGGACUGGAGAGGAGACUGGAAUUCAUGGUGUAGCAGUGAAAUGCGUAGAGAUCAUGAGGAAGACCAGUGGCGAAGGCGGGUCUCUGGGCAGUUCCUGACACUGAGACACGAAGGCCAGGGGAGCAAACGGG